AGUGAACGCUGGCGGUAGGCCUAACACAUGCAAGUCGAACGGCAGCACAGUAAGAGCUUGCUCUUACGGGUGGCGAGUGGCGGACGGGUGAGGAAUACAUCGGAAUCUACUUUUUCGUGGGGGAUAACGUAGGGACACUUACGCUAAUACCGCAUACGACCUACGGGUGAAAGCAGGGGAUCUUCGGACCUUGCGCGAUUGAAUGAGCGGAUGUCGGAUUAGCUAGUUGGCGGGGUAAAGGCCCACCAAGGCGACGAUCCGUAGCUGGUCUGAGAGGAUGAUCAGCCACACUGGAACUGAGACACGGUCCAGACUCCUACGGGAGGCAGCAGUGGGGAAUAUUGGACAAUGGGCGCAAGCCUGAUCCAGCCAUACCGCGUGGGUGAAGAAGGCCUUCGGGUUGUAAAGCCCUUUUGUUGGGAAAGAAAAGCAGCAGGUUAAUACCCCGCUGUUCUGACGGUACCCAAAGAAUAAGCACCGGCUAACUUCGUG
RNAcentral lists this ribosomal RNA (492 nucleotides) under uncultured bacterium. RNAcentral describes it as "partial 16S ribosomal RNA". It matches the Rfam family "Bacterial small subunit ribosomal RNA", at positions 29 to 507 of the family's 1533-position model. The record is from RNAcentral.